GACGAACGCUGGCGGCGUGCUUAACACAUGCAAGUCGAACGGAAAGGCCCUGCUUUUGUGGGGUGCUCGAGUGGCGAACGGGUGAGUAACACGUGAGUAACCUGCCCUUGACUUUGGGAUAACUUCAGGAAACUGGGGCUAAUACCGGAUAGGAGCUCCUGCUGCAUGGUGGGGGUUGGAAAGUUUCGGCGGUUGGGGAUGGACUCGCGGCUUAUCAGCUUGUUGGUGGGGUAGUGGCUUACCAAGGCUUUGACGGGUAGCCGGCCUGAGAGGGUGACCGGCCACAUUGGGACUGAGAUACGGCCGAAACUCCUACGGGAGGCAGCAGUGGGGAAUAUUGCACGAUGGGCGGAAGCCUGAUGCAGCAACGCCGCGUGCGGGAUGACGGCCUUCGGGUUGUAAACCGCUUUCGCCUGUGACGAAGCGUGAGUGACGGUAAUGGGUAAAGAAGCACCGGCUAACUACGUG
Molecule: ribosomal RNA, 468 nt
Filed under: uncultured bacterium
Lineage: Bacteria
Description: partial 16S ribosomal RNA
Rfam family: Bacterial small subunit ribosomal RNA
Source: RNAcentral